GACGAACGCUGGCGGCGUGCCUAAUACAUGCAAGUAGAACGCUGAGGGAGGAGCUUGCUUCUCUGGAUGAGUUGCGAACGGGUGAGUAACGCGUAGGUAACCUGCCUGGUAGCGGGGGAUAACUAUUGGAAACGAUAGCUAAUACCGCAUAACAGUAGAUAUCGCAUGAUAUCGACUGGAAAGGUGCAAUUGCAUGAGUACCAGAUGGACCUGCGUCGUAUUAGCUAGUUGGUGCGGUAACGGCUCACCAAGGCGACGAUGCAUAGCCGACCUGCGAGGGGGGUCAGCCACACUGAGACUGAGACACGGCACAGACUCCUACGGGUGGCAGCAGUAGGGAAUCUUCGGCCAGAGGCGGAAGUCUGACCGCGCAACGCCGCGUGCGUGAAGAAGGUUGUCGGGUCGUAAAGCUCUGUUGUAAGGGAAGAACGCGUGUGAGAGUGGAACGUUCACACUGUGACGGUAUCUUACCAGAAAGCGACGGCUAACUACGUG
RNAcentral lists this ribosomal RNA (495 nucleotides) under uncultured bacterium. Its description in RNAcentral is "partial 16S ribosomal RNA". It matches the Rfam family "Bacterial small subunit ribosomal RNA", at positions 28 to 507 of the family's 1533-position model. The record is from RNAcentral.